AUUGAACGCUAGCGGGAUGCUUUACACAUGCAAGUCGAACGAGUGGCGGACGGGUGAGUAAUAUAUCGGAACGUGCCCAGUAGCGGGGGAUAACUACUCGAAAGAGUGGCUAAUACCGCAUAGUAUUGGGGCGGCCGAUAUCGGAAUAUCCAGUUGGUGGGUUAAAGGCUCACCAAGGCAACGACCCGUAGGUGGUUUGAGAGGACGACCAGCCACACUGUGACUGAGUCACGGCCCAGCCUCCUACGGUACGCAGCAGUGUGGAAUUUUGGACAAUGGUCGAAUCCCUGAUCCAGCCCUCCCGCGUGUAUGAGAAGGCCUUCGGGUUUUACAGUACUUUUGUCAGAGAACCGGUAUCUGCAGAAUAAGCACCGGCUAACUACGUGCCAGCAGCCGCGGUAAUUC
RNAcentral lists this ribosomal RNA (405 nucleotides) under uncultured bacterium. Its description in RNAcentral is "partial 16S ribosomal RNA". It matches the Rfam family "Bacterial small subunit ribosomal RNA", at positions 30 to 526 of the family's 1533-position model. The record is from RNAcentral.